UGGUGAGGCAGUUGUCUUGGGCAUGGAGACCUUGCAUGUUACAGAUGCCGCAGAUGGGCUGGUACUCAAUUGGUGCUUAUGCAUUCGGAUACUCUGGGAGUGAUAUGGCCAGGCUGUUGGCAACAAAAGCAGAUGAUUGGACAUCGAGCUUGACCCCUUCCAGGUCCAUUACUCGUUCGUGCUGGAGCUGCUGCAUAAAUGGGUACUAGAUCGGGUGUAUAACCUUGUAGAACCAGAGGUGGCGAUAGAUCUUGAAGGAGCUGGGGCUGGACGUGGUAGCUGGGACAUGCAGGCAUGUGAGGAGCUGGCUGAGCCGAGUGCUGGCACUUAACUCAAGCUGGUGCAAGACUUGGGCAUUUGCUGGGAUAAUGUCCAUAUCCCUUGCAACAAGUACACCAGAUAUUCUCACGUUCAGUAAUGGGUUGAGGCGGUGUCUAAACUCCUCGAAUCCAGUUAAGCUGAAGCUCGGACAUUUUUUUGGUGAGUGUUUUCAAGUCAUCACAUACUUUGGAGAUUUUUUGUGACUGUGGCAGAGUUGAGAGGAAGUAGCCACGGCAGGAAGUACAUGUUGCUAGAGGCAGCUGUAAUCGACGGUUCCAGGAAAAAAUAAACUCACUAAAUCAGUAAGCAAAGGAUAACAAAGCAAAGCCAAAGAAAACUCCUGUGACGCUGGCUGAUGACGCUGUGACGCUGCUGAUGUUUGCAGGGAGGAAAGGUUGGCGGAAUCACUGGAGGACCACCAAGCACUGAAGGAACAGAGUAGAAAGGCUGUUGGAAGUGAGCCAUACUCACGUGGGCUUGCUCCCGACUGGAAGCUGUGGAAAUAGCCUCAGCAAGUGUUGUGGGAGUCUGGCCCUUCGUGAAGAAAGCCAAUUCGGGAGGCAGGCUGUUCAUGAAGAAGCAAACCUGAUCAUCCUUGCUGGGAGGAGGGUCCUUUUUAGCAACUAGUCACUGAAACCGGAUGAUAAAACUUUGUAAGCUUUCGUUUGGCAGCAAUCGAAUGUAGUUAAGUUCCUCACUAA
Long non-coding RNA from Selaginella moellendorffii, 1022 nucleotides. RefSeq lists it as uncharacterized. The transcript is spliced from 2 exons. The record is from RefSeq and is a predicted model, not a curated record. NCBI's taxonomy places the organism in Eukaryota, Viridiplantae, Streptophyta, Lycopodiopsida, Selaginellales, Selaginellaceae.